RNAcentral lists this long non-coding RNA (1671 nucleotides) under Ananas comosus (pineapple). RNAcentral's name for it is "long non-coding RNA (ACOM_LNC042081)". The record is from RNAcentral. Lineage: Eukaryota; Viridiplantae; Streptophyta; Magnoliopsida; Poales; Bromeliaceae.
UAAAAACAUAAAAUGAAUACAAUACGAAGCCCAAAAACAAAAGCUAAACGAAGUACACAGGUUGUGACGCCCCGACUUCCCAGGGGGUCACCCAUCCUAGGAUUACUCCCGUCCUAGCACGCUUAACUCUCUUAACCUCUUGGGUCUAGCCACCACCCAAAAUACUUAAGCCGGGUUAAGAGUUUAGCCCUAUUAUUUCUGAUAUAUAGGACUAUCUGGGGUCUCACAAUAUAUUGUGAGACCCCAGAUAGUCCUAUAUAUCAGAAAUAAUAGGGCUAAACUCUUAACCCGGCUUAAGUAUUUUGGGUGGUGGCUAGACCCAAGAGGUUAAGAGAGUUAAGCGUGCUAGGACGGGAGUAAUCCUAGGAUGGGUGACCCCCUGGGAAGUCGGGGCGUCACAGAUGGUAUCAGAGCCAAUUACCAGCCGGAAGUGUGAGAUGAGUCUCGGCUGAGCCAGGGUCUGGAUGACGGACUAGCGAGAUAAGUUUCACAUCGCCUGGUACUUGUGAGUCUGAGCCUGACGAGGACGUCAGGGCUUAAAGGAGGGGAGAUUGUGAGACCCCAGAUAGUCCUAUAUAUCAGAAAUAAUAGGGCUAAACUCUUAACCCGGCUUAAGCAUUUUGGGUGGUGGCUAGACCCAAGAGGUUAAGAGAGUUAAGCGUGCUAGGACGGGAGUAAUCCUAGGAUGGGUGGCCCCCUGGGAAGUCGGGGCGUCACACAGGUGGUCUCUAUACAUGGUACAAAACUCUCUCUCUCACUCUCUAAUACAAUAAAAGAAAGAGUAACCACCUAAACACAAAAGUAGCUCCUCUCUAUCUAGCUAGGCGACACCCUUGCCGCGAUCCCGUGCCUCCGCCGGUGCCGAAGGCUCUGAAAAGGAAACAUAAAACAGGGGGCGUGAGAACUAUUAAAUAUAGUUCCCAGUGGACAAUUACUGACUUUAGUGAAAGCACCACUAGGCCCAAAAAGCUAAACAGGAAGGUAACACUAAGAGCAAUAGAAUCGAUAUGUAAGCAAACAUGUGAACUUACUACAACAUGAUAUCUCUACUUAGCAUGAAUUUGCAAAAGUAAAUAAAGACUAUUCUAACAUGAAGGUACAAAAGUGUCACUAGCAUGAUGUCCACAAGCUAAAUAGUAAAAUGUCUUGUUUACUAUUCUAGUCAAUGUCCAGUCGGUAUGCUAAGUCAUCAAUGAUCCAAUCCUGUAGGACCUACCCGUGGGUAGUCCAGUCUGCGCCGUGCCUAAUGGCCCCGUGGUAGUCAACAUUCCCACUCUAGGAAUGAGCCUCCCCCACGGCAUCCCAUUUCGGCGCCCAAUCCCGCACGAGCGAGCAUAUGUCGCGAUGGCUAUCUCCGGAGUGCCGGCUUGUAGGGAGCGACCCUCACAAGCAUGUGCGAAUGAGCACAAUGGCAAGCAAGCGAAAGAUCUGUCUCAAGUACCAAGUCCUCACAUAUAAAAAUAUGGAAUAUAUCGAAUGUCACAAAGGCCUAUCACUAUGUCAUCAUGUCUCUAAUAUGGAAUAUAGUCGAUGUCCAAUGGCCUAUCACUAUGUCUCUAUGUUGCAUUCUCAUAGUUUACUAGUUUCAAGUGCCCCUUUAUGACACUUUUGUUCAAUGAGUCCAAGCAUGAUAAUUAUGUUCAUUAAUACAUAAUUCUAACCAUUUCUAGC